RNAcentral lists this ribosomal RNA (110 nucleotides) under bovine gut metagenome. The record is from RNAcentral.
GGUGUUGAUGGCGUCGAGGGUCCACCCGUUCCCAUGCCGAACACGGAAGUUAAGCUCGAUCGCGCCGAAGAUACUUGGUUGGUGACGACCCGGAAAAAUAGGAAGAUGCC